CUGAUUUAGAAUGUUGAUUGAGAAUUGUCUAAGCAACCCCAUGAAUCAUGCCGCUUCCAGUAUAGUAUUAUUGUAUUACAGAAACACUUACUAAUAUAUGAGAUGAGUGAUCCUAUACUUUAUCCGAGCUCCGACCAUCUUCCAACUGUUCUUUCUUCCACUUUUGAUCGAUGAUGUGUACUCUUCUAGGCACCGAAAUCUCUCUGUCCUUCUUCACCCUCAAUCAAAUCUUCCUCCGCAAUCAGUAUACUAUAUUUUUACUGCUUCAGACAAUUCUUCUCUUCCCCAUACCCUUUUGGAGUUUAGUUCUCAGAAUUUCUUCUUUGGUAAACUCUCUUUGUUGUCAUCAAGUGUUUCAUCAUUUUGAUCGAACAUCUUCUUGCUCACACUGUAAUUAAUCAUCAUCAUCAUCAUCAUACAAACCAUUUGGAGG
Molecule: unclassified non-coding RNA, 433 nt
Filed under: Hevea brasiliensis (rubber tree)
Lineage: Eukaryota; Viridiplantae; Streptophyta; Magnoliopsida; Malpighiales; Euphorbiaceae
Source: RNAcentral